GUCUGACACGGCCCAACGGUGGCAGGUCUUGCCCCAACAUUUGGCCGUGGCGCUAUGAC
Regulatory RNA element from Acidovorax sp. 12322-1, 59 nucleotides. It matches the Rfam family "Selenocysteine insertion sequence 3". The record is from Rfam. NCBI's taxonomy places the organism in Bacteria, Pseudomonadati, Pseudomonadota, Betaproteobacteria, Burkholderiales, Comamonadaceae.